RNAcentral lists this ribosomal RNA (741 nucleotides) under uncultured Candidatus Poseidoniales archaeon. RNAcentral describes it as "bacterial SSU rRNA". It matches the Rfam family "Archaeal small subunit ribosomal RNA", at positions 102 to 857 of the family's 1478-position model. The record is from RNAcentral. Lineage: Archaea; Methanobacteriati; Thermoplasmatota; Candidatus Poseidoniia; Candidatus Poseidoniales.
GGAUAACCUGCCCUAUCGUCUGGAAUAACCUCGGGAAGCUGAGAAUAAGGCCGGAUAGUUCACAAAGCCUGGAACGGUUUGUGAAUCAAGGUAGGAUGGGUCUGCGGCGUAUCAGGUAGUAGGGGGUGUAAAGGACCCCCUAGCCUUCGACGCGUACGGGUGUUGGGAGACAUAGCCCGGAGAUGGAUUCUGAGACACGAAUCCAGACCCUACGGGGUGCAGCAGGCGCGAAAACUUCACACUGCAGGAAACUGUGAUGAGGGAACUCCAAGUGUGUGCACUAUGUGUACACUUUUAUGAACUUUUAAUCGGUUCAGGAAUAAGGGCUGGGAAAGACCGGUGCCAGCCGCCGCGGUAAUACCGGCAGCUCAAGUGGUCGUCGCUUUUAUUGGGCCUAAAACGUCCGUAGCCUGUUUGGUAAAUCUGUGGGUAAAUCAACUCGCUCAACGAGUUGAAUUCUGCAGAGACUGCCAGACUAGGGACCGGGAGAGGUGUGGGGUACUCGAGGGGUAGGGGUAAAAUCCUGUCAUCCUUCGAGGACCACCAGUUGCGAAGGCGCCACACUGGAACGGAUCCGACGGUCAGGGACGAAGCCUAGGGGCACGAACCGGAUUAGAUACCCGGGUAGUCCUAGGUGUAAACGCUGUGAACUUGGUGUCGGGGGUCCGCAAGGGGUCCCCGGUGCCGGAGUGAAGAUGUUAAGUUCACUGCCUGGGGAGUACGGUCGCAAGGCUGAAACUU